Molecule: ribosomal RNA, 933 nt
Filed under: uncultured cyanobacterium
Lineage: Bacteria; Bacillati; Cyanobacteriota
Description: bacterial SSU rRNA
Rfam family: Bacterial small subunit ribosomal RNA
Source: RNAcentral
CCUACGGGAGGCAUCAGUGGGGAAUUUUCCGCAAUGGGCGAAAGCCUGACGGAGCAACGCCGCGUGAGGGAUGAAGGCCUCUGGGCUGUAAACCUCUUUUAUCAAGGAAGAAGAUCUGACGGUACUUGAUGAAUAAGCCACGGCUAAUUCCGUGCCAGCAGCCGCGGUAAUACGGGAGUGGCAAGCGUUAUCCGGAAUUAUUGGGCGUAAAGCGUCCGCAGGCGGCCUUGUAAGUCUGUCGUCAAAGCGUGGAGCUUAACUCCAUUUAAGCGAUGGAAACUGCAAGGCUAGAGUGUGGUAGGGGCAGAGGGAAUUCCCGGUGUAGCGGUGAAAUGCGUAGAUAUCGGGAAGAACACCAGUGGCGAAGGCGCUCUGCUGGGCCAUAACUGACGCUCAUGGACGAAAGCCAGGGGAGCGAAAGGGAUUAGAUACCCCUGUAGUCCUGGCCGUAAACGAUGAACACUAGGUGUCGGGGGAACCGACCCCCUCGGUGUCGUAGCCAACGCGUUAAGUGUUCCGCCUGGGGAGUACGCACGCAAGUGUGAAACUCAAAGGAAUUGACGGGGGCCCGCACAAGCGGUGGAGUAUGUGGUUUAAUUCGAUGCAACGCGAAGAACCUUUACCAGUGUUUGACAUCCUGCGAAUCCUUUGGAAAACGAGGGAGUGCCUUCGGGAGCGCAGAGACAGGUGGUGCAUGGCUGUCGUCAGCUCGUGUCGUGAGAUGUUGGGUUAAGUCCCGCAACGAGCGCUACCCACGUCGUUAGUUGCCUGCAUUUAGUUGGGCACUCUAGCGAGUCCCUCGGUGAUUAACCCGGAGGAAGGUGUGGAUUGACGUCAAGUUAUUAUGCCCCUUACAUCCUGGGGCUCACACGUACUACAAUGCUACGGACAAAGGGCAGCAUACUUGCGAGAGCUAGCAAAUCUAUAAUCCGU